RNAcentral lists this ribosomal RNA (367 nucleotides) under Salmonella enterica. RNAcentral describes it as "bacterial LSU rRNA". It matches the Rfam family "Bacterial large subunit ribosomal RNA", at positions 454 to 722 of the family's 2925-position model. RNAcentral also lists the same sequence under 3 other names. Lineage: Bacteria; Pseudomonadati; Pseudomonadota; Gammaproteobacteria; Enterobacterales; Enterobacteriaceae. The record is from RNAcentral.
CAUCCUCCAAGGCUAAAUACUCCUGACUGACCGAUAGUGAACCAGUACCGUGAGGGAAAGGCGAAAAGAACCCCGGCGAGGGGAGUGAAAAAGAACCUGAAACCGUGUACGUACAAGCAGUGGGAGCCCCACCACUAAGCCAGUGGUGAACUCCACAUACGCAUCCUUUGCUGAGGAUACGGUUAACGGAGCGAAAGCGACGUUCAACCGCAAAAGAAGCAGAGGGGGCUUAGUGGUGGGGUGACUGCGUACCUUUUGUAUAAUGGGUCAGCGACUUAUAUUCUGUAGCAAGGUUAACCGAAUAGGGGAGCCGGAGGGAAACCGAGUCUUAACCGGGCGUUAAGUUGCAGGGUAUAGACCCGAAACC